AGCUGCAAAUUAAUGCACAGAAAACCAAUCCAGAAAUUAAGAGAGAGACACACACACAGGUGGCUGGCCGACGAUGGAGCAGACGAGGAAGAUGACGAUCGCCUUAACUCUGGUUUUGUUCAUAACCUCGUCCUCUCAUUCGGAGAACGCCGCAGCUUCCGCUUCUGACUGCUAGAGCUCCUGUCAGACCCACUGUAGCGGUGGCCCUCACCGUGGUGGUGUAAAUCUCUGUUCAGUUAUAUAUAUAUAUAUAUAUAUUAUCUCCGCUUAAUAUCACUUGUUACAGUCACGAUUGAAUGAGAAACAAAUAAUUGUUUCAAGAAUAUAGAGAGAGGUGCAGAAGAGAUAAAUAUUACUGCACUCUCGUCUCCGAACCGUAAUUUACCUAAUUCUUACUCUCGACUGCAAUUUAAUUGAUGUCCCAAUUGUCCUCCGAUAUACAUGUUGUAACUUCAAGACAAUAUUAACAAUCUCGAUCCUAUUUGCAUUCAGUCGUACCGAAUCGGGAGGCCGUGCCAUGCGAUCGCAUUUGCGCAUCAAAAUGCAGGCUAGAUCUUCAAGCUAAGGGCCACCAUAAGUGAAGAGGAUUCCAGUCUUUGGAUUGCAUGGAAACUUCAGCAGCAGCUAGCGGCGGCUUGGUGUACUCUUCCAUUUGCAAUUGUAGCAACCGCAUAUAUAUAUAUAUGUCUAAAAUAAAAGAUAAUACCACUCCCGAUUAUAAAUAUGUGUGGUUCUAGAUAAGAUUUAUAUAGGUUGCUAUUUAAUGAUAUAAAUAAAUAUUAAAAUUUAUUUUUUUUA
This is a long non-coding RNA of Diospyros lotus (date-plum), 798 nucleotides long. RefSeq lists it as uncharacterized. The record is from RefSeq and is a predicted model, not a curated record. The transcript has 2 exons. NCBI's taxonomy places the organism in Eukaryota, Viridiplantae, Streptophyta, Magnoliopsida, Ericales, Ebenaceae.